This is a long non-coding RNA of Herpailurus yagouaroundi (jaguarundi), 4103 nucleotides long. RefSeq lists it as uncharacterized. The transcript has 2 exons. The record is from RefSeq and is a predicted model, not a curated record. NCBI's taxonomy places the organism in Eukaryota, Metazoa, Chordata, Mammalia, Carnivora, Felidae.
CCGGCCACGGAGUGAGCCCGUCCCAGUGACGCCCCGGGAGGCCGUGCCACCUCGGCCCGGAGCCCGGGCCCUGAAUCGGCCUUGUGUCCGAGCGGCCACCUGACCCCGGGGCCGUGCCACCUCUCCCGGCCUCGGUUUCCCCAGCCACAGGAGGCACAGGGAGGACGGCUCCUACCACUCAGGGCUGCCGGACGACGGAAUGAAAAACGCACACGUAGGGCCGAGCACCGGGCCGGGCAGCCGGCCGCCUUGCCCCAGAGGGGUCGCGAGGCCACCAUGAGGUCGGGUCCAGGCACGUCACCACACCCUCUGAGACCAUCGCAGACCCCUCGGCCCCAUGAAAGCCAAUCCUGGCCACCACACGGGGCAAAGGCGAAGCGUGCCCGUGCUCCAGCCCUCAGACCUGGCCAGCGGGCCUGAGGGUUUUUAACGGGGUGCUCUUAUUCGGAGAUUUAUCAGACUCCGCUGGCCUCCGCCGAAGGCGGCCGGGCCACGUCCACGCGGCCACUCUGUCUGCCCAAGUCUCUCCCUCGGCCCUUUACGUGGCCGGGCACCUGCCGCCCCUGUGCCUGGGGAGCCCCAGGGCUGUCAGGGUGAGAUGGGGGCUCCCCAGGCAGGGGGGGGGUACAGCGUGGACUGACCGUGGCCGGGCCUGCCGCCUCGGCUCAUGGGCGUGUCGGCAGCGCCUGGGAGUAAGGGGCUGUCUGGACACCUGAGCAACCGGGGACGGGAGCUCAAGCUCGGAUCCGGUGGUGCCCAAGAAGGAGGUGGAGGGGCGAGGCGACUGAGCAGGAAGGAAGCAGCCCAGGAGGAGCCCUCUGGUCCUCGGGCUCUGGUCUCACGCACACCGCCACGUGACCAGCUCGACAGCUGAUGCCAGAGACAAAGCAGGUCUACUCAGAGAACCCACCUCUCGGCCACGGACGGGGCAGCAGGCCCGGCCGCGUGUUCCAGGGCCCCACUACGGUGGCCACACGGCUUUCUGACCCAUCCGGAAUCCGAUGCAAACAAGCCUGCCAUCUGGAAUCUCACAGCGAGGACUGUCUCCCAGUCCAGCGUUGACUCCUGAAGCCGCCCCCACCGAGUGAAAGCUUGUAUUGGGAGGGUUUUCUGCCUCAUGCCACGCCAUUCCAGUGUUUCCCACUUAGAUUUUACCAAUCCCACCCACACGGCCUCAGAAGUUGUUUUGGUCACCCCCUCCCCCCCAAAGAGAGAUCUCUUCAGAGCAUUUUGGGGGGGUCAGGGUAAACAGACCACAGCUGAGCGGUCCCAGAAUUUAAAAAAUUAAAAAAAAAAGAAUAAGGGGGAUGUAAAAGCAGUUUUAAAAAACGAAACUUCAUUUUCUGAACGCCAAGCCAAAUAUUAUCAUCUGCCAACAAAGACUCACGGGGGAAGGGGAAGCUUGGCAGGGAGCGGACUCUCAUCCCUCACCCGGACUGGGGCCACUCCCUCCCCUGUCCUCACCCGCUUCGAAGGGGCGUCCAGGCCGAGGACCCCCUCAGCUGGCAGGGAGCCCAGGCCGAUUAUCCCCCGCGGCCUUUCCAACGACCCCCAACGCCAGGAAGACGUUCUCAUUCCCGGCCCCAGGCGGAUCCGUUCCUCCGAGCCCCUAACUCGAGCCUGGGAGCCGGGCCUGGCUUCUCAGGGCGCCUUCCUGGCGAUUUAGCAGGAACGGGGCUGGACCCUACCCACAGAGCAGGAAGAGGGAGAUGGCUACUAGAUAAGCGUCAGAGGGAAGUUCUGUUCAUUUUAGUAAUUCAGAAAACGUCCGUCCAGUGCUGACUCCGGGCCGGUUUGUCAGGAGUGACAAACACACCCUCUCCGGCCAGCGAGGGUGCGUGAGGGUUAGCGUGCGGCUUACCCGUGGCAGGCCGGACUCCCUGACAGCCUGCAGACUCCUCCCGAGUUCAUCGGAGAAUGGAUUCUGGGAGGAGUAAAGGGCCCCAGAAAGUCACAAAUAUUACCCAAAAUCGCCCUCGAUGGCUUCCUCCUCCGGGAACGGACCCUUCCUCGAACAGUCCUGAUUUUCCUCACUUGCCCUGGACUACCCAUCACCUCCAGCAGACAAAGGCCCAACGGGGUCUAGCCCAAGGGAGGGUCCCUCCAGCCCCCACCAUCCAACACCUGGAAACCUGGCCACCUUUCCGGUGCUUGCGAAUGUGCCCUCGCACCCUUGAGAAAGAGAUCACAGAAGGGAAAAAUUAAACUUGAGAAAGUUAGCCUCCGCUCAACAAAGAAAGCCAGACGUUCCCGCUGGAUUUUCCAAGAACCAUGGGUCAGGGGGGCUUUCUCUUUUCCCUUUCUAUAAAUCUCGGUCCCUGACUGGGUUCUGAGGGCCUGUGAUACCCAGAUACUCGAGCUCUGCCGGCCCAAGCCAACGGGACACUGGUCAGCCCUGGAAAUAAGCAUUUCGUAUAAAAGAUCCAUUGUCUCUGCCUGAGAACAGUUAUUGCCUUUUCUCGGUCCUCAGCCACAUAACAUCAGGACGCCCAGGCUCCUUUCUUGUUCGGACAACAUGUUUUCAGCAAGGCCAAUCUCGCUGGGUCUUCCUGAACCAUCAGCGAAGAGACAAGAUUCUCCUCAGCGAAGUGUUCUGGUGAACGUAUGCUCGUAUUCGGCCAAAAAGCAAUUAGCUCAUCAGUGGUGAAACCCUCCCACCAAAUCGCCAGCCGCAUUGCCAGCAAGAUGCUGGCAGCUGCUGUGGCCACUCUGGACCCCCGAGUCGCGACAUCCUGCCUUCAUUCCUCCCCCAGACCCUGAAUAGGUGAGGGGCACACGUCAGAGCCUGGGGUCGGCGCCCAAGCGACCUCCUCAAAUGCCGUUCCCGGGGCGGGGAGGAGGUUCCACGCCUUCCUCUGGGAGCACGUCCCGGGACCUCCAGAGGCCUUGCUCCCCUCUAGUGCCCCCAGUGCAUCCUAGCCAGGUCCCCGUGGGAAGGAAAGCCCUAUUUGCAAGCUCCUCGCGGUCUACCAGAUAGGAAAUAUCAAAGUUCAUUUGCACCACCACCUGCGGGGCGGGGGAGUGAACUUGUAGGUGCCCUUUCUAGAGAAACCAAAACCGGACUCCCCGUUUCUUAGAAACUCAAACAUAUAAUCGUCACUAGCAAUAAAAAUGGCGAUGACCAUUUGUAACAAUAACAAUGACAACAGCAGCAGCCAUGUAUGGCUCCCUGCCACGUGCCAGGAACCGUACUCUGUGGAAUUCACGGUGCCUGGACGCUCCCAACGACCCUCCGAGGUGGGAUUUAUUGCUCUUGCUCUAGGACUUGGGGUACAGGACUCGGGGUACAAGGAUAUGCCCUGUCCCGGGUCACACAGUGAGCCAGGGGCAAGGACGGGACUGGAGCUGCCCGAUGUGAGCCGGGACACCCCCUUUUAACGGGGUGCCUGCAAGAGUAUCCUCCCUUCUCCCCAGAUGUGCAAGCACACCGUGUAAGCCCAACGAAUACCAAGCAUGAUGGUUUUAAGCUGUCUUCCUGGCUGGCCCGCAAGGGCCUCCCUCCCUCCCUCCCCAAACACUGGUUUCCCUGGACAGCAGGGAGUGCUUGUUCAGAGAGAGCGCCCGGCAGGGUAGGCAAAGCCCUCCGGACCCUCUCUCAGCCCCAGGGACUGCCUUCCACUCAGGCCUCAUCCACACCAGGGCAGAACAGGCCCUGGCCCGACACCCUUCUGAGGACGAGAGCAAGCAAGACUGGGUCACAGACGGCCCCAUCAGGUGCAAACCACACAGAGCCCAAAGUCAUCCUGCUGUAAACCUCCCGGCUGUUCCCACUGAGCAAAGCAAACUGCCGUCUGCGCCUGUUCAGGUGGCGCGUGGAACCUGGUCACGGCAGAGACCUCCUCGCCACACACUGCCUGUGCUGAGCAGCUGGCCCCCACCAGCACCCCGGAGACCCAUCGCCCAGGAUCUGGGGCCUCCAGCGGCCAAAGGCUGGGCGUGACACAGCCCCAAGUACAGGCGACAAAACACUACAGGGCUGGCCCCGGCUUAAAACAAAAAUGGAAAUACCAGGGCCAUCCUCCCACUCGCCCACCACAGUCCACGAGUCCCUAUGCCCCUGCUUAGCACAUUCUUCCUAUUAAAUCCAGAAGUGACAAAAACCA